GAUUUCUUCAGUUCUGUGCCGUCUCUAGCCGCGAUAGGAAUCUUGUCUGUGAAUUCGAGUGAUUUCGUUUCUCAUCCGUUUUCAUCGCUUCAUUGCAAUCUGCCGGCAAACGUGAGAUUUUUAGAAGGUUUGGAUGGACUCUAAUCCACCGAUUGGCAAAAAGGGGUGUGUAGGCGGUAAAAUGGUGGACACCCAGCACUUCUGCCUCCGCUGGAACAACUACCAGAGCUCAAUCACCUCGGCGUUCGAGAACCUGAGGGAUGACGAGGACUUCGUGGACGUGACCCUUGCGUGCGAGGGCAAGAGCCUCAAAGCGCACAGGGUCGUGCUUUCCGCGUGCAGCCCUUACUUCAGAGAACUGCUCAAGAGUACCCCAUGUGCGCACCCUGUGAUUGUACUGCAGGACGUGGCGUUCGCCGACCUGCACGCUCUCGUCGAGUUCAUUUACCACGGCGAGGUCAACGUGCACCAGCGCAGCCUCACGUCCUUCCUGAAGACGGCCGAGGUGCUCAGGGUGAGCGGCCUCACGCAGCAGGCCGAGGAGCGCGACGAGCUGGGGUCGGCGGGGGCGGGCAUCACCGCCCCCCGCAACCUGGCCUCCGCCUACCCUGAGAAGCUCGAGGACGCCCGAUUCCCGUCGCCUAUCACGGCCAGUCCCGUGGGCUCGGCCCUGGCGGCCAACGGCAACGGCGCGGCCGCCGCCCUCCUGAGGCGGCCGCCCGUCCGCAGGGACUCGGAGCAGGCAGGUCUCGGCGGCGAAUAUGAUCUCUCCAUGCUGAGCAAGAGGGCCAAGCUGAACAACGACGAGGUCACGCACAACAGCAACGUCGUGGCCGCCGCUGCGGCCUCCAUGCUCCAGCAGGCCGCCGUCGUGGCCGCCGCUGCUGCAGCUAGUCAGCAAACAAGCCCAGAGGAUUUUUCUCCCAAAUCUCGGCGUGGUGGGGUCGAGAUGCUUGAGAACAACCACCAACACAACCCCGAUUUGGACAGAAAAUCGCCCAAGGACGACUUAUUAUUGGCCAAGCAGGAGACUGGUGACCACUUGGGGCCCAACGUUGACGUAGAUAACGACGACUCUAUGGAGGGCAAGGCGCCUUCCUCGAUCGCCUCUGAUCAGGCAGAAACGGACGGCAGCACACAAGGGGGACCACCAGGGCACUUCAACAUGCAGGAAAAGUUGCACUCGUUAUUUUCAGCCUCCAGCCCAGGACAACCGUUCAACUUCAACCUACCUGUUAGUAGACAAGCUCUAUCUGAAGCUGCCAGCCUUUCGAGUCUUGCCAACGCUGCGGGACUAAACCAGAGCUUACCAGAGCUUGGCCUAUCACCAGGUUCGUCUGCGAGCAUGAUCAAGAAACAGUUUUUCUGCCUACUUUGCAGUAAGGUGUUAUGUUCGAAGGCUAGUCUCAAACGACAUAUCGCCGAUAAGCACGAGGAGAAGCAAGAAGAGUUCAGAUGUGUCAUUUGCGAACGCACCUACUGCUCGAGAAAUUCGUUAAUGACACAUAUCUACACGUAUCACAAAACGAGACCCGGAGAAAUCAAAGCAGAGCCCAUUUAACAUGCACAUUCGUACCUCUCCCGAUUGUCACAAUUGUUCGCUGCCACGUACUCCUGCGGAGAGGUGAUUUCUUAUAAGGUGCCUCCCCCGACCAACAAUAUGAACGAGCCCCAAGAGUGCCCAUACUGUCGACGCAUGUUCAGUUGUUAUUACUCGUUGAAGCGACACUUUCAAGACCGGCACGAAAAGUCCAACACUUUAUACACGUGUGAGUUUUGCAGCCGCAGCUAUCGUACAAAAAACAGCCUGACCACACACAAAAGCCUCCAGCACAGAAGUACGAAUGUGAUGCUUCGACGUCUGCUCAAGACGGGCAUCAAAAGCCUGAUGGAGCUCCCCACUCCGCACCACCAGCACCAUCACCAGCAACUUCAUCCAUCGCACCAGACUUCUUCAACAUCAUCAUCAACAGCAUCAUCUGCAGUCAUUCCCAAUUAGCAAAGUCUGAGAGUACAAAUAUCAAAGUUUGGCACAAUUUUAAUACCACAAACACACACACACACACACACACACACACACUCGUCGCUUUUUAUUGCUCUAUACUGAACUAAAACGUUGUUGAGAAUCAAGUCAAUUUUUGGCCAAAAAUAUAUUUGCUGACAGACCACGGAAAUAUAUUUUACAUUUUACAGCCUAAAAAACGAGCCGUGAAGAAAUUUGCCGGCUUGAAAAGAAGAAACUUGUUAAUCGGUUUGUCCUUUUUUCUUGUUCAUUCUGAUUGAGAAGCAAAAACACUUUCGAGGAGAACACUGGAGGAAAGAUUUAAUAUACGCUAUUUGCAGUUUUUGGUAUCUUGUCUGUGAUGUUUCUGUAAUAUGUAAAUUUUUAUGUACACGGUACUUCCGAAAUUUUCAAAAUUUAGUGCUUCUAGCGAACAAAAGGCAUCAAUUGACACGAGAAAAAUUUCGGCUCAAUUCGAUUGAGAAGUUGAACAUUUAAAAGACUUGAUUUUAAUGGGUACAUGCAACUCAUGCACUGCCCUGCUGGUGACAAAAGUGGAUAAACACGAGCGCGCAACAUAAUAUUUGAACAAUCUGCUGGGAAAUGUUUUUGGGAAAGAGUCAAGAACACGUGUAAGUUGAAUGGAUUUUUAGUGGGAAACAAAAACUUCCAAAUAUCAAUGCAUGGCUCGCGCGUUGAAGGAGUUUUUUUUGACGAUUAAAAGAGAAAACUUUUAUCCUAUUACUAAAUUGUUUAAGCACUCGUAAGACUCAUUCCAAAAUUGAUAUCGCGAGGAGGGGACAAAACAAAAAUUUUUAACAACACUCAAGUACAAAGUGUAAAUGUUGGUGUAUCAUUCUAAUUCUUAUUUCGGCUCUAUAUAUUGUACCAAUCGCUAAUUAAUGACACUUUCUUGAGAGAAAUGAAAAUCUAGAGAUGAUUCAAAUUGCUGUGUGUUUGUAUAUGGAAAAACAAAAACGGAGACUAAAGAAAAUGAAAUAUUUUAAAUGGCUCACUACCUUGAUAUAGGUGAAAAUUUAUUGAGAAAAAAAAUGCUAGAGGUAUUUUGAAGACAUUAGGCUUCACAUUUAUCCAUGUGAUUAUUGAUAAAUUUUGAGAAAAGAGAUGAAAUUUAAAAUUUAAGACUUACAUUCUCUAGAUGCCAAAUUUUAAGGAUUCUUAAAUCUCGAGGAGAAUAUCUAUCGUGGCCAGAGGUAAUUGAUAUAAAAAUAUCGCACAUUUCUUGUUGACGUGUCAAAUUUAAUGUUCUAAAAAUUCAAAUUAUUAUACCCAUAAAAGGGAAAAUCUUCUCGUUCAGUCUCUUCAAUUUUCAAUGUGAUCGUAUCUACUCUUUGACGUGUUAUCUAAUUUAAAGCCUAAGUAAAAAUUAUUGUUUGGCUGUUGCAUAAAAGAGGAAUCUCUUCCAUGCGUCAUUUAACACAGAAUUAUUAUAUAAAUUAUUAUGUUUGUGGCAAAACGAAAAAGUACGGAAAACGAAUGAAUGGGUGAACCUCCUCUAGCUUACGAGACUGGGACUAAAAAGCAGCUUGAAAUUGUGUUGUUGCUUGCGUUGUUUCAAUUUGACUGCUAAUUUUGCUGUGUUUUCAUAGUCACUUUUCUAGAUUAUUGAUGUUUUUUGUGUUUUAAUUAUCACGCAUCAAAAUUACUUGUAAGAAAUCGAAAUUAGGAAGGAAUAAUCAAACAACUACUAUUUAAUUUAUUUCUUAUUUGAGAAGACUUAAUUUUGUAACGUAAAAAUAUGUGGAAUUUAAUAAUGUUUAAUUGUGUUACGUGGCAUUUUUGAAUAUUAAUUAUAUACGCUUUGAGUUAUGAGAGCAGGAGGCGUGUGUCAUUGACAAGCAAUUGGCCCAGCUCACUCUCAAUUCUAUUCAACAUCUGAUCUCAAACGCUUUUGAUUUUGUUUGAAUUUUAAUUGUGCACCGGGCAUUCCACGAUUGCGCUAUAGUUUGGAAAAAGCGUCCAGAAGCAACAACCUCCGAAACUCUUCAACUCAAACGUACACGAUUUUAAUUUUGCCUUUUUCUUCUAACUGCACUGGAUAAACAUGUUAAUAUGGGAAACGCUGAAUUCCUUUGAUAAAAUGCAUACCAAAGAUUAGUUGAAAUCAUUCCCAAUAAGUUAGAAGAAAUUUGCUCGGAAAUUGACUGAGGAAUUAUUCACUGUGUAUUUUUAAUUUAAUUUUCCAGAGUGGGUGUAAGACUUAAAGUUAAUUAUUUUUCUCCUCAAACACGUAUGUACAGCAGAGGACACGAAAAUAAUUUCAUUUUUCCUUCCGACUCUCAUUUUGUGAAUCAAUAGACACAAAAGUAACACAUCUCGCCACACACAAAACGCAGCAUCCCUGUGUGCAUACAUAAAUAAUAUUGUUAUGGGAACAGUUGCCAGGCCAGCAGCAAUCUAAAAGGGUUGGCUCGUCCGGGCCCAAGGCUGAGAAUUAAAUCAUCGGGAGGCAGGCUUCGGGUCCCGAGAUGAGCCGCACCCGCGAACGCAAACUGGUCGAGUUAUAAUUCAUAGUUUUUGUUAAAAUAGAACUGUACAGAUAAAAACAAAACAAAAUGCAAAAACCAGGCGUCGAUACGCGCCACAGCAAAACAGACGAUAGUAAUAAUUUUAGACACAACAUAAAAUACAACGUGGUAAUCAAUAGUUUUUUGUGGUAGUUUUAACUGAGAGAUAACGUUUAAGUUUGUCGAAUUACUUGUUGCAAUGAUGGUUACAAUUUUUUGUUGACUGCUACGCGAUACACACAAACAAUGCGAUUUGUAUGAACUAUGAAGUAUGUAAUGAAAUAUUAUUAUUAUAUAAUUAUAUAUUCAAAUAAUAAGAGUUAUUGUGUUACAACAAUCCACACACCACACAGCUAAUCUGUAUAACCCGAACAGAGCUUGUCAGAAAUUGAGACAUAUUGCACGGUACAUAUCAAAAAGAAAUUUUAAAAGAAAAAAUUUAUUGAGAAAAAAAAACUUCAAACACCCACACGGAUCAGCGGCUGGUGUAAUCGAAUUUUGUUGCUACUUUAUGUGAUUGGUUGAAUAAUUUUAAUUGAUUGUACAGAGGAAGGAAUGAAACGACUUGUUGAACAAAUCCAAGUGAGGAAGUGUUAUAUCCGUGUAAAGUGUAAGGUUUGCGAAUAAUUACGCAUCAAUUGUAAUUGUAAUUUGAGAGAAAGAGUGACGCCGGCUUUCGAUUGCCUCGUUAAAAUGUGUCUCCGCUGCUUGCUCUACGUGAAUUUUCCAUUAUUUAACUGCUAUCAGUGCAGAUCAGCAAAAUUUUCUUACAGAGACAUGUAUGAAAAAUGUGUUUAUCAUAAGGACAAUAUGUUAUGUAUGCUGUACGCUAUAAAAUAGUAAUUGUAACACGCGCCAAUCAUAAUUUCCACACUCACAUAGAUGCCACACACAUACACACACGCAGAUAUACUUCAAUAUCACGCAGACCCUUAAUUAAUAUUUAUAACUGUGUAAUUACAAAUGUAAUGCCAUCACGCAUAAAUAUCACAGUUUGCAUCUUGCAGUGGUCCAAAUUGCAUAAUUAUACUGAAAACACAUUCAAAACAAUACAAACAUCGUGUAUCUUCCAUUUUGAACUUGUGAUUUUAAAACAGAAAAAAAAAACGCAAAGCCACGCCACAAAACUUAAGCCUGAAACUUUCGACAAGUUAAAAACGCCAUCUUUUUAGAAAAGAAUAAAAAAAUAAACAAUUAACAUCACCCUUACGCCAUUUGCGAAAAGCCCAAAGUUGCUACGAGAAAAUUGUCAUCUUGACACUUUUCUUUAUUACUUCACAAUGAUUCCAGAAGCCGAAUCUUCUGAAUUAAAAAUAAAAAUCUUAGUGUGCUUCACAAAUGUAAAAUCUUUUUGAGGAAAUUUCCAAUUAGGUGCAUUCAAAAGUUCAUUGACCUUUCGUCGGCUGGGUUUUGGAAUUUUUAAAUUUCUAAGGCUCCGGCACAAAUAUCGCUCGAAGUCAUAUCAGAUUAAGUGAGUUGCUUUCUCGUACUCAUCUUGGAAAAUGUCUCUGGGAUUUUUACCUGUUGUGUGUCGCAAAAAUACUUCAGAAGCACAUCAUACUCCGAAAGGGAGGAAGUUAUUUUUGUAGAGCCAUCUUUGUACAUAACGCGCAGACUUACAUGGAAGAAAUAAUGGAAAUUAUAAAUUGCCUUUUUUACACACGCGCUCUUCAACUGCAAAAUUUUCAAACGCAUUUUCGGGUCACAAAUGACAAUAUUUCUGAUGAAAGCAAAAAGUUCAAAAAGUUGUUGUUUGAACUAUAAAGACAAAAAAUGAAUUAAUGGUUCUGCAUUUCCGACAAAAAUAAUAACCAUCACUGUCAAAACGCGCUGUUUAGACGACUUUUAAUCGAUUACUUUGAAAAAGAAAAUGUUCGCACUUUUUUCUGUCCGCAUCAAAUGCAAACAUAAAUUUUAACUUACAAAAGGGCUGGCUCAAAAAUUAUAUAUUUCUGGCAUCAAAAUGCUUAAGAAACUUUAACCACAAACUACUGCAGAAUAACACUGUGAACACCAACAAUUAACCAGAUAGAGACUCAACCACUUACGCAAACAAACUCAUUAGUUACAGAUCCAGAGUUAAUAACAAAAAAAUAUGCAUACACUUGUUCAGCAAAAAAAGUAUGUAUAAAAAAAAACAUAGGCAGAGAACCCCUAGAUAAUUGUACUAUAUAAUCUCUCACAGACACACUUACACCGUACAAACCAUUACCGGUAAACAAUUCGCUUGAGUAAGAAUAAAUUUGAAUUAUAAUGAUGAUUGUUUUCUUUCUGCUCCGAGAGAAAAAUGAAUUAUCGUGAUAAUUUAAUGCUUUAAACGCAAAUAAUUAGCAGACACAUACACACAGACACACCACAAUACCUCAAACCCGCGUUGCAAUUACACAAUUAAUUGGAACUCAAACAUGCAUCUUAGUCUAAUGCCAAGGGUUACCCAGCAUCUUCUAUAGCAAUAGUGCUCUUGCCGACAACUGAACAAAAUCGGAUUUAAUCUCAGCACACCCUUCUUGUAAAAUCAAUGUUAGCUGCCGUUUAAGUGCUACAAAAGUACAGUAGAAGAGAUUAUAAUGAUUAUCAAAAUACCAAGUAUUUAAAUGCGCAGGGUAACCUGAUGUGAUUUUUCAAAUCCAUAAAAUGGGCACACAGGUGCUACAGAGAAAAGAAAUAAUAAUAUCAAAUCGACCAUGUGAAAUAUUUAAUUCGCGUAAAUUUAAACUUCUCUUCUCACAUCUAUCUCUCAUUAGAAACUUUCAAGUUCUCAUUGCAAUUGUCACAUCAGAUUAAAAUAGCAAAUGAAUAACCCACUUUUAGUUCAUUACUCUAUGAAAGCACUACAGACGUUACAAGUGCUGCUUUAAUUUUUGGUGUGGUUUAUGUAGAUUAUUUUUUGCCGUUUUCUUUCACACAACUGGACUUCGCAACCGAAUUCAUAACACAGAUUUAUAAUGAAAUGUUUGACCUAGGUUUUUUCUAUUGAUUGUACUUCAUUAUGAUGAGAAAAAUAAACAAAUUGACGUGACGGGAUUAUGUUAUUGAAACGACGUACAGGCAUUAUAUGUACACCGUACUUCCAUCUUGAUAGAUUACAUGUUCUAGAAAUAGAUUCCUGUAAAAUAAUAAUAAAAAUAUGUUCAUAUCAA
Neocloeon triangulifer is the source of this 7670-nucleotide RNA transcript. It is a transcript of the gene named broad-complex core protein isoforms 1/2/3/4/5-like, with no coding region annotated. The transcript has 9 exons. The record is from RefSeq and is a predicted model, not a curated record. NCBI's taxonomy places the organism in Eukaryota, Metazoa, Arthropoda, Insecta, Ephemeroptera, Baetidae.